UCACAUGAGAGAAUUGAUGACGCCACAUGCGAGACCCGCGCAGGCAUGUGUUGCGUGAGCCCUUCCCCUUCCGCCUCCGCGACCUCGUCGCGGCGGGGUCAGAUCAUCGCCCCGGACUCGCCGCCCUCCCUGCGAUCGUACUCCGACGACUCGCCGCCGUCGACGCGGGCCCCGGCCGUCCACCCUGAGGUGGAAUUCGAAGCCAAGCCGGCCAAACGCGCUCGCGUGGUUCCCGGUGGCGGCGGCGGCGGUGGCGGCGCCGAUGCGGCGGCCGGAGACGGCAGGGACCGCAUCAGCGACCUUCCCGACGCCGUCCUUCUGUCGAUCCUCUCUUUCCUCCCCUUCCGGGACGCCGGUCGCACGGCGGUGCUCUCCAGGCGGUGGCGGAAACUGUUCGACGAAUCCCUGCUGGACUUCAACGCGUGCCAGCCGUUCCCGCCGGAGGAAGGCCGCGGCUGCGAGUGGGUCAUCCGCUCCAUCACCGACAUCCUAGCAGCCCGCCCGGACGUCCGCAUCCGCAGCUUCCGCUUCGUCAUGUAUGGGCAGGGGUUCGCGGACCACCUCGCCGACGUCGAUCGCUGGUUCCGCACCCUAGCGCACCGCGGCGUCCGGCAGCUCGACGUCGACAUGCUGUACACGGUCCCGGCACCGCUCCUCCCGGGUUCCAUUCUCGAGUUCUCCUCCCUGGAAAUCCUCAGGGUGUUCAACUGCAACUUCCUCGAUCUUUCCCUGCCGGUGCUUCGGCUCCCCGUCCUCAGGACGCUCGACCUGUCCAACGUCUCCAUGUCCCAGGGCUUCCUGCAGGCUAUGAUGUCCAACUGCCCAUCGCUAGAGUGCACAAAGCUGAAGAACAUCACCGGACUAGACAAGAUAUGCGUCCGAUCGAGGAACCUGGUGCGCCUGUUCGGUGAUUUCAGUUACCUGAAGGAGCUCGUCGUCGAGGACGCCCCCAACCUCGAAGAAUUGGUGGGGAUCGGCCUCCCGCUCGCUGCAGCGAAGGUCAAGAUCGUCUUCGCGCCGAAGCUGCGGGUGCUGGGUUACUUGGGGAAGAGCGUCCGCCCGCUCGUGAUAUAUGACACCGUGUUUGAUGGAGGCAUCGUGCAAUUUAGGACCCUGAUGCGCAGCGUAUAAACUUUGGCUAUUCAGGUGCCCUUCUCAGAGAAGGGGCACACCAUCUUCGUUGCCCAAUUGCUGAAAUGCUUCCCAUGCCUUGAGGCCCUUCAUAUCGAGCCAGACAGCCGGUCAAUUUGCCGGCCGGUCGAUGUUGAAGAGUGGGACACAAUAACAUCUGUCCAGUGCAUUGAACAUUCCAUGAACAAAUUGGUCUUCGAGGAUUUUGGAGGGGAAGACUGCCAAUGGAGGUUUCUGACGUUUCUGCUUGGGAUGGCUAGAGCUCUCAAGGAUAUUGACUUCCACUGUUCAGAAAGCAAAGAUUGGGCAAGUAACCAGAUAGAGCUACUAGCCUAUACAAACAGAGCCUCAGCCGAUGUCAGGUUCCAUUUUUACAGAUUCAGUAGUUGGCCGGUCAGUAGCCUAUACCUGUGCCAUUGCUGCCCCCAGCGAUGCCAAAAGGAAGAGAGAAUUGCUCUCAUAUAAUUUGUAUAUAUAAGCUAUUGACGUUUUAUAGGUCUGAAACUGUGUGAGACUGAGAGUAGUUCAAUUGUUCAAAGCAGCACAAAGAACAAGUGGCGAUGUUCCUUUGUCGAUUGUGGGUUAAUCCGUAGUGUUGUCUGAAAGUUUCUGACGCCAUUCAGUGGCUGCAUAAGUUAUGUGAUUCUUGUGUCUGAA
Oryza sativa Japonica Group (Japanese rice) is the source of this 1788-nucleotide non-coding RNA. The record is from RefSeq and is a predicted model, not a curated record. NCBI's taxonomy places the organism in Eukaryota, Viridiplantae, Streptophyta, Magnoliopsida, Poales, Poaceae.